RNAcentral lists this microRNA precursor (60 nucleotides) under Bactrocera dorsalis (oriental fruit fly). Its description in RNAcentral is "microRNA bdo-mir-980 precursor". Its record names the gene bdo-mir-980. Lineage: Eukaryota; Metazoa; Arthropoda; Insecta; Diptera; Tephritidae. The record is from miRBase by way of RNAcentral.
CGGUCCGUCAUAUGGCAAUCUAACUGAGUUCGCUUGUUAGCUGCCUUGUGAAGGGCUUCC